UGGGGAAUAUUGCACAAUGGGGGAAACCCUGAUGCAGCAACGCCGCGUGAAGGAAGACGGUUUUCGGAUUGUAAACUUCUGUUCUUAGUGAAGAAUAAUGACGGUAGCUAAGGAGCAAGCCACGGCUAACUACGUGCCAGCAGCCGCGGUAAUACGUAGGUGGCAAGCGUUGUCCGGAAUUACUGGGUGUAAAGGGAGCGCAGGCGGGAGACCAAGUCAGCUGUGAAAACUACGGGCUUAACCUGUAGACCGCAGUUGAAACUGGUUUCCUUGAGUGAAGUAGAGGUUGGCGGAAUUCCGAGUGUAGCGGUGAAAUGCGUAGAUAUUCGGAGGAACACCGGUGGCGAAGGCGGCCAACUGGGCUUUAACUGACGCUGAGGCUCGAAAGUGUGGGGAGCAAACAGGAUUAGAUACC
Molecule: ribosomal RNA, 415 nt
Filed under: uncultured bacterium
Lineage: Bacteria
Description: bacterial SSU rRNA
Rfam family: Bacterial small subunit ribosomal RNA
Source: RNAcentral